This 252-nucleotide ribosomal RNA is filed under the name uncultured bacterium. RNAcentral describes it as "partial 16S ribosomal RNA". It matches the Rfam family "Bacterial small subunit ribosomal RNA", at positions 524 to 776 of the family's 1533-position model. The record is from RNAcentral.
UACGGAGGAUGCGAGCGCCAUCCGGAUUUAUUGGGUUUAAAGGGUGCGUAGGCGGGCUUUUAAGUCAGCGGUAAAAAUUCGGGGCUCAACCCCGUCCGGCCGUUGAAACUGGGGGCCUUGAGUGGGCGAGAAGAAGGCGGAAUGCGUGGUGUAGCGGUGAAAUGCAUAGAUAUCACGCAGAACCCCGAUUGCGAAGGCAGCCUUCCGGCGCCCUACUGACGCUGAGGCACGAAAGUGCGGGGAUCGAACAGG